GAUGAACGCUAGCGGGAGGCCUAACACAUGCAAGCCGAGCGGUAUUUCUUCUUCGGAAGAGAGAGAGCGGCGUACGGUGCGGAACACGUGUGCAACCUGCCUUUAUCUGGGGAUAGCCUUUCGAAAGGAAGAUUAAUACCCCAUAAUUUAUUUGAUGGCAUCAUUAGAUAUUGAAAACUCCGGUGGAUAGAGAUGGGCACGCGCAAGAUUAGAUAGUUGGUGGGGUAACGGCCCACCAAGUCGAUGAUCUUUAGGGGCCUGAGAGGGUGAUCCCCCACACUGGUACUGAGACACGGACCAGACUCCUACGGGAGGCAGCAGUGAGGAAUAUUGGACAAUGGGUGAGAGCCUGAUCCAGCCAUCCCGCGUGAAGGAUAAGGUCCUAUGGAUUGUAAACUU
Molecule: ribosomal RNA, 399 nt
Filed under: uncultured bacterium
Lineage: Bacteria
Description: bacterial SSU rRNA
Rfam family: Bacterial small subunit ribosomal RNA
Source: RNAcentral